This 614-nucleotide long non-coding RNA is filed under the name Ananas comosus (pineapple). RNAcentral describes it as "long non-coding RNA (ACOM_LNC005398)". The record is from RNAcentral. Lineage: Eukaryota; Viridiplantae; Streptophyta; Magnoliopsida; Poales; Bromeliaceae.
AGAGACCGGUUCCCGAGAGCUAGGAUUUCAAGACUUAGCCAAUUUUUGGCUUUUCUCGCUGGGAUCACGUUCGGGGACCGGUCUCUCCCUGCCAGGGACCGGUUGCAUCAAAGAUCCCCGCAACCCCAGCCGAUGGGACCGGUCCCUCCCUGCCAGGGACCAAUCCCCAAGAGCAGUUUUGCUCCAGUGCAGGUUUUGCACUGUUUGGUCCCGUGGACUCGCUUCCAAAACACUUUUGGUGAUUUUAACAUCUUUGGCUUUUCCAAAGCUCACCAACACGACCCUUGGUCGAUUUUGCAUGAAGUCUAACUCUCGCAUUUCAAGAAUUCACUUCCUCACAUCCUCCCCUCCUAAAAAGGAGUUUCGUCCUCGAAACGAAUUCAUUAACUUAAUUAACUCAUACCUCAUUGCGUUUCCUCAAAGAGAUGAGGAUAAUGCACUUUCAUCGAUUCCUCGAGUUCCCACGUGGCCUCACGAUUGUCGUGACCGGUCCAACGAAUCUUCACAUACGGAAUCUCACGGUUUCUCAGCUUCCGCACUUCUCGAGCAAUGAUCAUCGCCGGAAACUCUUCAUAGCUCAAAUCCUCUUGUACAUCCGGCGGUUCGUAAUACAU